This 326-nucleotide ribosomal RNA is filed under the name uncultured eukaryote. RNAcentral's name for it is "partial 18S ribosomal RNA". It matches the Rfam family "Eukaryotic small subunit ribosomal RNA", at positions 1470 to 1796 of the family's 1831-position model. The record is from RNAcentral.
CCCUUAGAUGUUCUGGGCCGCACGCGCGCUACACUGAUGCAUUCAACAAGCCUAGCCUUGACCGAGAGGUCCGGGUAAUCUUUGAAACUGCAUCGUGAUGGGGCUAGAUUAUUGCAAUUAUUAAUCUUCAACGAGGAAUGCCUAGUAAGCUUGAUUCAUCAAAUCGCGUUGAUUACGUCCCUGCCCUUUGUACACACCGCCCGUCGCUCCUACCGAUUGAAUGUGUUGGUGAGGAGCUCGGAUUGGCAGCAGUUGGUGGUUCGCCACCGGCUAUUGCUGAGAAGUCCUCCAAACCGCCCCAUUUAGAGGAAGGAGAAGUCGUAACA